RNAcentral lists this ribosomal RNA (169 nucleotides) under uncultured bacterium. Its description in RNAcentral is "partial 16S rRNA". It matches the Rfam family "Bacterial small subunit ribosomal RNA", at positions 338 to 524 of the family's 1533-position model. The record is from RNAcentral.
CCUACGGGAGGCAGCAGUGGGGAAUAUUGGACAAUGGGCGAAAGCCUGAUCCAGCCAUGCCGCGUGAGUGAUGAAGGCCUUAGGGUUGUAAAGCUCUUUUGCCCGGGAAGAUAAUGACGGUACCGGGAGAAUAAGCCCCGGCUAACUUCGUGCCAGCAGCCGCGGUAAU